CUCCAGCCAAUCAGCGCCGCUGUUUCUCGCCGUCGCUCUCAGCCCGCCCUUGCUGGGCGUGGCCUCCCCUCCUCUCGAGCUCGCUCCGUGUGGAAAAGACGGUUUCGGGUGCAAAAGUCGCUCUUAUGUUGUUGCUCCGGCCGUUAGACAUGCCCAGUGAGGCAGCAGCCGCCUGCCGUGCCGCGACCGUCACCGAGCUCCGGGACUCCCCGUCACUCCCGGGUGCUGUGAGGAGCGGUCUCCAGCCGCCGGCGCCCUUGCCCGCCUCAGACUGUCCGUUGGCCCCGCGCGCUGUGUCCGGACGGCGGCCGGGGAGCCCCCAGUGAAGGCCGCAGCGAUGUGGGAGUCCAAGCGGGUGCGGCUGCUGUGCAUGCUGGGCCUGACCUUCGUGUUCUUCGUGGUGGAGGUGGUGGUGAGCCGCAUCACGGGCUCGCUGGCCAUGCUCUCCGACUCCUUCCACAUGCUGUCCGAUGUCAUCGCGCUUCUGGUCGGCCUGAUCGCCGUGCGCUUCGCCCAGAAGACCCGCUCCACCGACAAGAACACGUUCGGCUGGAUCCGGGCCGGGGUGAUGGGGGCCCUGGUCAACGCCAUCUUCCUCACCGCCCUGUGCUUCACCAUCGUGCUGGAGGCCGUCGAGCGCUUCACCGAGCCGCAGGCCAUCGAGCAGCCCAUGGUGGUGAUCGGAGUGGGGGCCGGCGGGCUGCUCAUUAACCUGAUCGGGCUCUGCAUGUUCCGGGACGGGGCCGCACACGGACACGGACACUCUCACGGCGGAGGGAGCGGAGGAGAGGCGGCGGGGGGGCACGGGCACUCGCACGGCCCCCGGAAAGCUCACAGGAACCGGGACCGCUCGGCCGGGGAUGGAGCCGCCAUAGACCGGGAGGAGACCAACAUCUUGGUGGAGAACUGCGGGAAUUCGCACGGCCUGACCGGGGACGGUGUGAUCAGCAAGCACGGUGAGAUACUGGAG
Non-coding RNA from Pelobates cultripes (western spadefoot toad), 970 nucleotides. NCBI's taxonomy places the organism in Eukaryota, Metazoa, Chordata, Amphibia, Anura, Pelobatidae. The record is from the annotation of a GenBank genome assembly.